This 477-nucleotide ribosomal RNA is filed under the name uncultured bacterium. RNAcentral describes it as "bacterial SSU rRNA". It matches the Rfam family "Bacterial small subunit ribosomal RNA", at positions 28 to 507 of the family's 1533-position model. The record is from RNAcentral.
GAUGAACGCUGGCGGCGUGCCUCAAACAUGCAAGUCGAGCGGGGCUAUGUAAUAUCGCAAGGUAGAACAUAGCCUAGCGGCGAACGGGUGAGUAACACGUGGGUAACCUGCCUGGAAGACAGGGAUAACGAUUCGAAAGGGUCGCUAAUACCUGAUAAUAUCCUUUCAUCGCAUGGUGAUAGGAAGAAAGGGGAAACCCGCUUUCAGAUGGGCCCGCGUCCCAUCAGCUAGUUGGUAAGGUAAAGGCUUACCAAGGCGACGACGGGUAGCCGGUCUGAGAGGAUGUACGGCCACACUGGGACUGAGAUACCGGCCCAGACUCCUACGGGAGGCAGCAGUUGGGAAUCUUAGGCAAUGGACGAAAGUCUGACCUAGCGACGCCGCGUGAGGGAAGAAGGCCUUCGGGUUGUAAACCUCUGUCAUGGGGGAAGAAGUAAGUGACGGUACCCCAAGAGGAAGCCCCCUGCUAACUACGUG